GAUGAACGCUAGCUACAGGCUUAACACAUGCAAGUCGAGGGGAAACGGCAUUGAGUGCUUGCACUCUUUGGACGUCGACCGGCGCACGGGUGAGUAACGCGUAUCCAACCUUCCCAUUACUGUGGGAUAACCUGCCGAAAGGCAGACUAAUACCGCAUAGUCUUCGAUGACGGCAUCAGAUUUGAAGUAAAGAUUUAUCGGUAAUGGAUGGGGAUGCGUCUGAUUAGCUUGUUGGCGGGGUAACGGCCCACCAAGGCUACGAUCAGUAGGGGUUCUGAGAGGAAGGUCCCCCACAUUGGAACUGAGACACGGUCCAAACUCCUACGGGAGGCAGCAGUGAGGAAUAUUGAUCAAUGGACGGAAGUCUGAACCAGCCAAGUAGCGUGCAGGAUGACGGCCCUAUGGGUUGUAAACUGCUUUUGUAUGGGGAUAAAGUUAGGGACGUGUCCCUAUUUGCAGGUACCAUACGAAUAAGGACCGGCUAAGUCCGUG
This 492-nucleotide ribosomal RNA is filed under the name uncultured bacterium. Its description in RNAcentral is "partial 16S ribosomal RNA". It matches the Rfam family "Bacterial small subunit ribosomal RNA", at positions 28 to 507 of the family's 1533-position model. The record is from RNAcentral.